This 253-nucleotide ribosomal RNA is filed under the name uncultured bacterium. RNAcentral's name for it is "partial 16S ribosomal RNA". It matches the Rfam family "Bacterial small subunit ribosomal RNA", at positions 524 to 776 of the family's 1533-position model. The record is from RNAcentral.
UACGUAGGUGGCAAGCGUUGUCCGGAUUUACUGGGUGUAAAGAGCGUGUAGCCGGGCUGACAAGUCAGAUGUGAAAUCCGGGGGCUCAACCCCCGAACUGCAUUUGAAACUGUUGGUCUUGAGUAUCGGAGAGGCAGGCGGAAUUCCUAGUGUAGCGGUGAAAUGCGUAGAUAUUAGGAGGAACACCAGUGGCGAAGGCGGCCUGCUGGACGACAACUGACGGUGAGGCGCGAAAGCGUGGGGAGCAAACAGG